This 60-nucleotide small nuclear RNA is filed under the name Sus scrofa (pig). Lineage: Eukaryota; Metazoa; Chordata; Mammalia; Artiodactyla; Suidae. The record is from RNAcentral.
GUGCUCACUUCGGCGGCACAUGUACUAAAAUUGAAACUAUACAGAGAAGAUUAGCAUGGC